This 465-nucleotide ribosomal RNA is filed under the name Vreelandella stevensii. Its description in RNAcentral is "partial 16S ribosomal RNA". It matches the Rfam family "Bacterial small subunit ribosomal RNA", at positions 338 to 795 of the family's 1533-position model. Lineage: Bacteria; Pseudomonadati; Pseudomonadota; Gammaproteobacteria; Oceanospirillales; Halomonadaceae. The record is from RNAcentral.
CCUACGGGUGGCUGCAGUGGGGAAUAUUGGACAAUGGGCGAAAGCCUGAUCCAGCCAUGCCGCGUGUGUGAAGAAGGCCUUCGGGUUGUAAAGCACUUUCAGUGGGGAAGAAAGCCUUGGGGCUAAUACCCUCGAGGAAGGACAUCACCCACAGAAGAAGCACCGGCUAACUCCGUGCCAGCAGCCGCGGUAAUACGGAGGGUGCGAGCGUUAAUCGGAAUUACUGGGCGUAAAGCGCGCGUAGGCGGUCUGAUAAGCCGGUUGUGAAAGCCCCGGGCUCAACCCGGGAACGGCAUCCGGAACUGUCAGGCUAGAGUGCAGGAGAGGAAGGUAGAAUUCCCGGUGUAGCGGUGAAAUGCGUAGAGAUCGGGAGGAAUACCAGUGGCGAAGGCGGCCUUCUGGACUGACACUGACGCUGAGGUGCGAAAGCGUGGGUAGCAAACAGGAUUAGAUACCCCUGUAGUC